GCACUGCUGAGGAGUCGCACAAUAGGACGAAAGAAUCGUCCAGUAC
This is a non-coding RNA of Schistosoma haematobium, 46 nucleotides long. Lineage: Eukaryota; Metazoa; Platyhelminthes; Trematoda; Strigeidida; Schistosomatidae. The record is from Rfam.